This is a long non-coding RNA of Orbicella faveolata, 744 nucleotides long. RefSeq lists it as uncharacterized. The record is from RefSeq and is a predicted model, not a curated record. Lineage: Eukaryota; Metazoa; Cnidaria; Anthozoa; Scleractinia; Merulinidae.
CGCUGGGGGAUUAUCUCGAAAACUAGAAUAAUUGUUAUUUCUUCCGGUAGUGUUUUGGUUGCAUGUAACAGUAAUAAUUCAGCCUGGAUUUGCUGUAUCACUAAGCCACUAAAACCAGAAGUAAUCUUUGAGAAACAUAACAUCGACUAAUACGUUGGAUUUUCUACUCAUCACCCAGAGUAUAGGCGCCCAAGAAAAGUCAAAACACCUUACUGAAACAAUAUUAUCCGAACAAGUCUUCGCUAACCAUGGAUCGCACAUGGCAAUGGUUGCUGGUUUUGCUUCUCGUCCUGUCAUUACAGUUGCCCCCAUGUUUUUCUUGGAGACGACGAAGAACUAAGCCUCCUCCGUGUAAGUGUGAUUACGUUUCACCAACAUGCAAAAUGGUGAUGAGAGACGACUUUGGUAACAGCUAUACCAUGCAACAAGAAUCCUGUUCAUCUGCUUGUGGAUCGCAUUGCCCAACAUUCCAUUGCAGAUAUUUCCAAAAAAAGGAUUCCAUACUAUAUUAUAAAUGCAGAAAGUGAUAAAACGGUAAAUCACCUAAAAUUUAAACGUAAAAUUGAUUAUCAAGCAAUGCAGUACGUACUACAAAAUAAAAUUAGGAUAAUAAGGGUAAAUGUCAGAUAAAUACGAGCAAGUUAACAAGUAAGGCCAUAUUUUUGGGCCAGAAAGUGUGUAGCCUGCGAACGCAGACGUAUUUCCGGCUGUCGCUUGUCUCCGCCGAAAAAUAACGUCUGCGAA